GAAAGCCAAUCUCAGUUCGGAUUGUAGGCUGCAACUCGCCUACAUGAAGUUGGAAUCGCUAGUAAUCGCGAAUCAGAAUGUCGCGGUGAAUACGUUCCCGGGUCUUGUACACACCGCCCGUCACACCACGAGAGUUUACAACACCCGAAGUCAGUGGCCUAACCGCAAGGAGGGAGCUGCCUAAGGUGGGGUAGAUGAUUGGGGUGAAGUCGUAACAAGGUACC
Molecule: ribosomal RNA, 224 nt
Filed under: uncultured bacterium
Lineage: Bacteria
Description: partial 16S ribosomal RNA
Rfam family: Bacterial small subunit ribosomal RNA
Source: RNAcentral